RNAcentral lists this ribosomal RNA (597 nucleotides) under uncultured fungus. RNAcentral's name for it is "eukaryotic LSU rRNA". The stretch from base 229 to 382 matches the Rfam family "5.8S ribosomal RNA". The record is from RNAcentral. Lineage: Eukaryota; Fungi.
GGAAGGAUCAUUAUUGAAUAAACUUGAACAGGCUGUUGCUGGCUCCCCUGGGGUAUCGUGCACGCUUGUCAUCUUUAUCUCUCCCACUGUGCACAUAUUGUAGAUCUGGAGUUUUAAAUUGUUUAGAUUGAGGACUGCUGUACAGCUUUGCCUUGCUUCUCCCAGGUCUAUGUUAUUUUUUACACAACCUCUGAAUGUGUUUGGAAUGUUAUAAAAAGUUAAAUAUACAACUUUCAGCAACGGAUCUCUUGGCUCUCGCAUCGAUGAAGAACGCAGCGAAAUGCGAUAAGUAAUGUGAAUUGCAGAAUUCAGUGAAUCAUCGAAUCUUUGAACGCAUCUUGCGCUCCUUGGUAUUCCGAGGAGCAUGCCUGUUUGAGUGUCAUUAAACUCUCAACCACACCAAGUGUGGCUUUGGACAUGGGGGUUUUGCAGGCUUCUAAAAAGUCAGCUCUCCUGAAAUGUAUCAGUAGUAUCUGAGCAGGAAAAAACUACUACAGGUGUGAUAACUAUCUAUGCCUUUGUGGACUGCAUUGACAGAUUACACUGCUUCUAACAAGUGAUCUUUUUCACCUUUGACAAAUUUGACCUCAAAUCAGG